AUGGAGGAUGGACCUCAGAUAUGCGAUGCGAGUGGAACAACAACAACAAUAGUAGGAGAUCAAAGAGGCACCAGCAACAGCAGCUUCGGCUGUGAUGAUUGGAGCAAUGCCUGCUCAACUUCUGGGCUUGAGAAUACUAAUGGAGUAUUUGUUGGUCAUCACUCAGCUGGGCCUUCACUCCCUUUUGAGGAACAGCAGCAGCUGCCACCAUCGAUCUGCCAAUUCCUCUCAUCAUCAUACUCAUGUUAUAAUCCAUCCUCCUCGUCAUGCCAGCCGGUCAUGACAUCGACCACUCUUCUCCAAUCCAUGGGAGGCAACGAUCACCAUCCGUCUUAUCUCCUCGAUGGCUUCCCUACUUUCUGCCCUUCCAUGCCCCUAAUGUCGCCACAGCCACCACCGGAGAACGGCACCAGCUGUCAUGACGCCAACCAGCCAUCGCAGAUGCUGGCCACGGAUGAGCAAGCGGCGGCGGCUCAUCACCAGCAAGAUCCAAGCACCAUUGCUAAGAAGCGAGAGGAAAGGGACAGGGCCAAGCAAAGGUACAACGAGAAGAAGAAGAACAGAAAGUUCUGCAAGCAGAUUAUGUACGCCUCCCGCAAAGCGAGGGCGGACACGCGGAAGCGGGUCAAGGGCAGAUUCGCAAAGGCUAGCAAUGAACACCAACACAUACUACACUCAGAUGCAGCAUAA
This 690-nucleotide ribosomal RNA is filed under the name Triticum aestivum (bread wheat). Its description in RNAcentral is "partial small subunit ribosomal RNA". Lineage: Eukaryota; Viridiplantae; Streptophyta; Magnoliopsida; Poales; Poaceae. The record is from RNAcentral.